AUGUUAUUAUUACAAACUCUACUGAAUUUAUUUUAUUUAAACUUUGGUUAUUUUGGUUUUAUUAUUUGGAUGAUAAGUAAAAGGGCUUUCUUUAAUCAUUGUAAGCCCAAAAUGAACAAAAAGGACAUGGCCCGGAACCUAAAACAAUCACUAUACAAAUUGAGGCAAAAACACUUAAGGGUUUCAAGCACUGUCUUUUCUUUUUUCUUCUUUUCCAGAAUCAAAACUUUCCAUUUUAAACAAUAA
This is a non-coding RNA of Vicia faba (fava bean), 246 nucleotides long. Lineage: Eukaryota; Viridiplantae; Streptophyta; Magnoliopsida; Fabales; Fabaceae. The record is from the annotation of a GenBank genome assembly.